UGGGGAAUUUUGGACAAUGGGCGAAAGCCUGAUCCAGCAAUGCCGCGUGUGUGAAGAAGGCCUUCGGGUUGUAAAGCACUUUUGUCCGGAAAGAAAUCCUUGGCUCUAAUACAGUCGGGGGAUGACGGUACCGGAAGAAUAAGCACCGGCUAACUACGUGCCAGCAGCCGCGGUAAUACGUAGGGUGCAAGCGUUAAUCGGAAUUACUGGGCGUAAAGCGUGCGCAGGCAGUUUGCUAAGACCGAUGUGAAAUCCCCGGGCUCAACCUGGGAACUGCAUUGGUGACUGGCAGGCUAGAGUAUGGCAGAGGGGGGUAGAAUUCCACGUGUAGCAGUGAAAUGCGUAGAGAUGUGGAGGAAUACCGAUGGCGAAGGCAGCCCCCUGGGCCAAUACUGACGCUCAUGCACGAAAGCGUGGGGAGCAAACAGGAUUAGAUACCCUGGUAGUCCACGCCCUAAACGAUGUCAACUAGUUGUUGGGGAUUCAUUUCCUUAGUAACGUAGCUAACGCGUGAAGUUGACCGCCUGGGGGAGUACGGUCGCAAGAUUAAAACUCAAAUGAAUUGACGGGGUCAUAGCUGUUUCCU
Molecule: ribosomal RNA, 586 nt
Filed under: uncultured bacterium
Lineage: Bacteria
Description: partial 16S ribosomal RNA
Rfam family: Bacterial small subunit ribosomal RNA
Source: RNAcentral